GGGCAACGGAAGGUUAGCUGAGCCCUUCAAGGUUAUCCACAGGCCCACGAAUUCAGAGGAGAAGAUUUCAGUGAUGGAACACUCUCCAAUUAACUGCUCUGCACAGCACCUUGGACAAAAGGCUAUAAAAAUUAUAAAAGAUGAUAUAUUAAAUUUUUGAGGAGAAAGUGAAACAUGUCUGGGUCUAAGCAAGAAGUGAAUAUUCGCCUGCAGAUUCCGUACAAGAUGGGGCUGGAGGAACAACCUACACAGCGGGUCCAGUUUCAAGGCUCUUCACAAAUGUCAAUGAUCCUUUGAAAACCUCUUCCUCCUCAUUGUGCACCUGUUCUACACCACACAGCAGAGACAGCAAAUAGACAGCAGGCAGACUGACUCUUUCCAUCCCAGACCAAUGGCAGUCAUCACCAGUUGAUCCUGUUGUAAAUACCUUUUCAAAUCCUUCUAACUCGUGCUGUAGAAGCUACCAUCAACCUAUGAAGUUUGGCAGAUGAAAUAAAAUGUAUUGGUCAUUCCAUUUGUUAAUUAUUUUAAUACUAUAACACUGAUAGUAUUCUAUUACAUUCAUUUGUUUAUAUAUGUGUCGUCUAUUACACAGAGAUAGCUGGUACAAAGUCAACCCGUAGUUAAGACUUGAUUAAUUUACAGCUGAAUAAUACUGCUUUCUUACAUUAAAAAAAUAAAGUUUUUUCAUGUUCACCUAUACUUUAGAAAUAGCUUCUGCUCUUUUAUUCCUUAGAUGAUAGCUUCACUCAGUUAAUGUCUUCAUAAUCCUUCAAUUGAAGUCAAUAGCUAGAUGCAAAUUAGUCUG
This 808-nucleotide long non-coding RNA is filed under the name Aotus nancymaae (Ma's night monkey). Its description in RNAcentral is "lncRNA (ENSANAG00000039511.1)". Lineage: Eukaryota; Metazoa; Chordata; Mammalia; Primates; Aotidae. The record is from RNAcentral.